Macadamia integrifolia is the source of this 3133-nucleotide RNA transcript. It is a transcript of the gene named BEL1-like homeodomain protein 9, with no coding region annotated. The record is from RefSeq and is a predicted model, not a curated record. The transcript is spliced from 5 exons. Lineage: Eukaryota; Viridiplantae; Streptophyta; Magnoliopsida; Proteales; Proteaceae.
AGAGAAGACGAGUUUGGUCGUCGUUCUUCAUUCUCAGUUUCAAAUUUCUGUCACGUGCGUCAUCCAUUAAUGAUCCUUCUGAUCUCUUCCCAGUCCCUCUCAGGCCGAGUCUCAGCCUAUGAUCCUAACAAUUUCUUUUCAAUUCUUUCCACUUCUUAUUUAUUUAGGAGCUUUUAAUUUAAUUAACUCCUCUGCAACCACUAUCCAAAGUCCAAGUACUGUACUGGUAAUCUGUAAUCUGAUACUCUGUUCAGAUUUCAGAAUCAUCUGAUACGAUGCGAGUCUUCAAACAGAAAAAAAAAUAAAUAAAUAAAAAAUUAUUCAGAAAUUUAUUAGGAUUUCUCUUUUCUCUCCACCGGGAAUAACCGGUCAUCAUUUGAUCUCGAAACCCUAUGAGCUAUUACUGCUCGUGUGUGUGUAUGAGAGAGAGAGAGAGAGAGAUUGACUGUGUGAGAGACAGACCCCUCUCUUCUCGGCUUGCUGGGCUACUUUAGUUCCUUAUUCUACGUCGAUUGCUGCUUGUAUUCCUUUGCUAACAUACGCCACUGCUAUUUUCAGCUUCUCCUAAGCUCUCCUCAUCAUAACUUUUUUUUAAUUUUUUUUUGCCCUUUCCUUUCAUCGUUGCCCUCUCACCACAUCUUCUACCUUUUUCUUAGCCUUCUUUACCUACCCUUUCUUAAAUCUUUCUUUCACUCUUCAUUCAAAACUCAAAAUCCUUUUCAAUCUCAUCUUUUCUCCUGAAAGCUUAGCUUAGCUUAGCUUAGCUCUAGCUCUUUGUCAUGGCGGAGGGUUUCGAGCCCUUUCAUGUACCGCAACAAAGUAGAAGAGAUAAGCUGAGAGUCCUCUCUCAAUCGCACCCCACUUGCGAUGAUGCCGCGGCUGCUCUACAAGGGUGUGUGGGUUUGCUUCCUAUGUACGAUCAUCACUCUCUCCUCUCCUCUGACAUGCUAAACUGCGGCAACCCACUUGGUGGAGCUGGGACUGGAGCUGGGACUGCAACUGUCGAGAUUUCUAAGCCAAACCCAGUUUGUAAUGUUAAGGCGGAAGGUGGGAAUUUAAUGGGCUACCUCGGGGGGUUCGUAAAUGCUUCUUCUUCGUCUUCUUCGUCUCAUCAGCCUUUCUUGGAUCCACAGUCUUCCCUCGCCUGCAACCCUUUUCUUUACACGGCCCAGAAUCUCAGAGAUCUUGAUCACUCCUUUAAUGGUGGUGAAGUGGUCCCCUUCAAGCCUACGCCCGUAUCGUUAACCCAUGCCCAUGAUUCGGUUUCCACUGGACAAGGUCUGUCGCUGUCCCUAUCAUCUCACCAUCCAGGACAGCAUAAUCUCCCUCUGGAGCUCAAUUUGCAGCAGUACGAGUCUGCGCAUGCGGUGUUCGAUGGAAAGUGUAUGGGAGGGUAUGUAGCUUCCACGUCCAACGAUGUGUCCAGGAGUCCUGUGCCUCUCGGCCCUUUUACGGGCUACGCUUCGGUUUUGAAAGGGUCGAGGUUUCUGAAGCCUGCGCAGCAGCUCAUGGAGGAGCUUUGUGAUGUGGGUAGAGGAGUUUUAAGUGAUAGAAGCUAUGGGGACUCCUCUUUGAUAGAUCCUUCUAUGGAAAACUUGGGUGGAGUUGGAGUUGUUGAUGAUUCACUAGCUUGUGGAGAUCCUACUCGUAGUGAGCACCAAAGGAAGAAGAACACUCUACUAUCAAUGCUGGAUGAGGUGUAUAAAAGAUACAAGAUGUACUACCAACAAAUGCAUGCUGUUGUUGCUUCAUUUGAGUCUGUUGCCGGGCUUGGCAAUGCAGCCCCUUAUGCAUCAUUUGCCCUCAAAACAAUGUCGAAACACUUCAGAUGCUUGAAGAAUGCCAUUACUGAUCAACUUCGAUUAAGCAAAACUCUUGGGGAGGGAAGCUUUGAAAAGGAUGGAGUUCCUAGGUUGGGGACUGCCGACCGAGGCCUUAAUAGCCAGAGACCUGUUCAUAACUUGAGCAUUCUUGAACAUCAACAUGUUUGGCGACCCCAGAGAGGACUUCCAGAACGUGCGGUAGCUGUUCUCAGGGCAUGGUUAUUUGACCACUUCCUUCACCCUUACCCUACUGAUACUGACAAGCAAAUGUUGGCUAAACAGACGGGUCUAUCAAGGAGUCAGGUCUCUAACUGGUUCAUCAAUGCUAGAGUAAGACUGUGGAAGCCAAUGGUAGAGGAAAUUCACAUGCUUGAAACACGGCAGGCUCAAAAAGCAUCAGAGACCGAGGACCAGAAUUCCAACAAGGCUGUUGAUCACCAACCACCUUCGUCAAACCCACUACCCUCCAACAAAACACUACAGACUACUGCAACCCAGAAUUCUCAAAACCCCCCAACAAAACGCAGUAGAAGUGAACUUCCCAUUGCACCCAACCAAAAUGAUCAGCUGAACAACUUUCAAUACCAUAAUCUAUCAAGCCAUCAUCACCAAGUAGGUGUGAGCAAUGCAGUGGGUAACAGCAGUGGCGGUGUUUCACUGACACUGGGCCUGCGCCAGAAUAAUGGAAUCGGCUUGUCUGAGCCUUUUCCAAUGAACAUAGCUCAUCGUUUUGGCCUUGAAGCAAACGAGGGAUGUGUAGUUGGUAGCUUUGAGGCCCCAAAUCGGCACUUUGGGAAGGACAUUGGGGGACAGUUUCUCCAUGACUUUGUUGGCUGAUGAACUUCAUUUUGAGGCUUGCGAUAUCUGAGGUUGUUUACUAAUGAUCAGUGGGGAAAGUUUGCCAAAUUCUAUAGAGAUCGAGCUCACAUAACGCAGGACAGACUAGAUGGGUCAAUUGGAGAUUGCCCUCUCUGGGUGUAACAAGAUAAGGAGAUCAAGAAAGAAGGAAAGCAGCAAAUAGAAUACGAGAGAGAGAGAGAGAGAGAGAGAGAGAAAAAAAGUUGUAACCACUGACUGAGAUUUCGAGAUUGAAUUACGAUGAGACGUUGGGGAGAUUGGAUGAAAGUAGAAGGAAAUGGAUUAUAUAUGGCCAGUCUCCCUGGCCCCACCUUGUACGUAAUUGGGUGAUUUGUUAACUCUUUAUGUAUUUUAUGUUUUCAGAAGCAAUUAUAGCAUAAUAAUAGCAAGGUAAAAUAAUUGUAACGAGGUAUACUAGAAAAUAUUUUUUUCACUCCUCACUUGGCUUCAAA